Molecule: ribosomal RNA, 420 nt
Filed under: bacterium
Lineage: Bacteria
Description: partial 16S ribosomal RNA
Rfam family: Bacterial small subunit ribosomal RNA
Source: RNAcentral
UGGGGGAUAUUGCACAAUGGGCGAAAGCCUGAUGCAGCGACGCCGCGUGGGGGAUGAAGGCUUUCGGGUUGUAAACCUCUUUCGCUAUCGAACAAGGCCCGCUUAGGGUGGGUUGAGGGUAGGUGGAGAAGAAGCGCCGGCUAACUACGUGCCAGCAGCCGCGGUAAUACGUAGGGCGCGAGCGUUGUCCGGAAUUAUUGGGCGUAAAGGGCUUGUAGGCGGCUUGUUGCGCCUGCUGUGAAAACGCGGGGCUUAACUUCGCGCGUGCAGUGGGUACGGGCAGGCUUGAGCGUGGUAGAGGUGACUGGAAUUCCAGGUGUAGCGGUGGAAUGCGCAGAUAUCUGGAGGAACACCGAUGGCGAAGGCAGGUCACUGGGCCAUUACUGACGCUGAGGAGCGAAAGCAUGGGUAGCGAACAGG